Molecule: long non-coding RNA, 726 nt
Organism: Gadus macrocephalus (Pacific cod)
Lineage: Eukaryota; Metazoa; Chordata; Actinopteri; Gadiformes; Gadidae
Exons: 3
Source: RefSeq, a predicted model, not a curated record
UGAAAUUGAUUAUGAUAUUGAGUAGUGAUUCCAAAACGUUAUGUCUCCUGUUCCCCAGAGCCUCUCAGUGUGCUGAAGUACCCCUUCAUCAUCAGCACCUUCAUAAUCAACACCCUCAUCAUUAACUCCUUCAUCAUCAUCCCCCUCAUCAUCAACCCCUUCAUCAUCAACCCCUUUAUCACCAACCCCUUCAUCAUCACCUUCAUCAUCAACCCCCUCAACAUCAACUCCUUCAUCAUCAACCCCCUUAUCAUCAACCCCUUCAUCAUCAACCCCUUCAUCAGCUCGUGGAAAUUUUCUCAACUGAAAGUUGUCCUGAGGGCAGAAACGUUUUUCAUGGUUCAAUCUGACAACCAAUCGCAAGACAGGAGAGAAUUAUGGAGACUCAACAAUGGAACGAGCCACCAUUUGAAUCCACCGUCAUUAAGUUUGGAGCAAGAGGAAUGUGUUAUGCUGGCUGAUAUCGGCUACAUGGCCUGCAGAUACCUCCCAGUUAGCCGAAUCGCCAAGGAAUCUUUAGAGGAGAAUGUGGAAAAAAAUGAAGCCAUACUUCAGAUCAGAGAUGAGAAGGACUCUGGAGCACCUCUUCAAGAAGAUGAAGUCUAACUGGGCCGAAUUUAACCUUGCCACUCAUGGCCUUGGCCCAUAUGUGCUCGAGACAACGUGUGUGCUCAUCGACUCAUGUCUGGCUGAGAAAUUGAAGUUGUUCAAAAUUGAUAAAUGAAG